AGCUGUUGCUAUAAUUACUCUACAGGACCUGCAGUUAUGUGUGUAACCAAGCUAGACAGACAAUAUGUGCGUCUCUGGCAGUAUUUGACGAGAAUUACUUGUCUAUGCAGUAGUUACUGAACGACCGGAUUCAUUCACUUGUCAAGUUUCAACCUUUGAAAUCUAUAAGUCAAAGACUCGAAUCAUGCGACGACAAGUUGCACUGGUUUUGGUAAGCUUCAUUAGUUAAAUUUUGCAUAUCUCUAUUUUGUUUUGCAUGAAGAAAACAGAUCACUUAUCUUUAAAGAUUUUAAAUAUACGCCACUCGCCGUAGGAAUGUUUUAGGCUACAUUACAAGUAUAAACUUGGGCAGAAUAAAAACAAAUAUUCUUUUUGCUAAAUCUUUUGAAUCUACACAUUACAAGUCUGCUGCAGGUUUGUUACAACUUGUGGGUUUUUAUACGUGUGUAAAAAGAAAACCAUUCUGUUUGCUUGCCUGUAUGUAACUAUAGGGGCGCGUAUCAAUUUAUUAUUUUGAAGACUGAUAAUAUUUUAUUACUUUUUUAAGGCCAUUGCCGUUAUGGUACGAAAAACUGCAUCUGAGGAAGGU
Non-coding RNA from Paramuricea clavata, 589 nucleotides. Lineage: Eukaryota; Metazoa; Cnidaria; Anthozoa; Malacalcyonacea; Plexauridae. The record is from the annotation of a GenBank genome assembly.